RNAcentral lists this unclassified non-coding RNA (77 nucleotides) under Algibacter luteus. RNAcentral describes it as "Arenitalea lutea Flavo-1 RNA". The record is from RNAcentral. Lineage: Bacteria; Pseudomonadati; Bacteroidota; Flavobacteriia; Flavobacteriales; Flavobacteriaceae.
UUGCAUUAGGGAUUGUAGUGGUAGCUUUUGGCGAGGCGUGCAUCGAGCCAAAACUUUAACGAAAAGCCCGACCCUUG